RNAcentral lists this small RNA (700 nucleotides) under Pongo abelii (Sumatran orangutan). Its description in RNAcentral is "retained intron". The record is from RNAcentral. Lineage: Eukaryota; Metazoa; Chordata; Mammalia; Primates; Hominidae.
AGGUCAUCGAAAACCGGGCCAUGAAGGAUGAGGAGAAGAUGGAACUGCAGGAGAUGCAGCUGAAGGAGGCCAAGCACAUCGCUGAGGAUUCAGACCGCAAAUAUGAAGAGGUGGCCAGGAAGCUGGUGAUCCUGGAAGGAGAGCUGGAGCGCUCGGAGGAGAGAGCUGAGGUGGCCGAGAGGUAAAGAUACCCGGGGGUGGCAAGUGAGCCCAUUGGCCCUGGGGCCUUCCACACAGUGGGAAGGUAGUGUCCUAGGCUUGGGGCUGUAGGGACAGGCCCUGUCGUCUGACCCCUGCCCGCUGCCCCCAGCCGAGCCAGACAGCUGGAGGAGGAACUUCGAACCAUGGACCAGGCCCUCAAGUCCCUGAUGGCCUCAGAGGAGGAGGUAGUGACCCCUCUGAACCUUUCUGGGCAAUGGCGCCUUCUCUCAGCUCACCUUCCCUCCAUCUCAGCACCACAGGCUGCUCUUUCUCAGCUGCUGGGGAUCAGGAAGGGCCUGGGGCUUCUGAGCCCUGCCUGCUGUCACUCUCACAACUUUGCUCUUCUCUUCUCUCCUCCACCCAUCCCCCGCUGUGCCAUCUCCACUGUCUGGCUUCGCUGUGCCCUCACACCCUGCCCCCCCCCGCCACACACCCCCUGCAGUAAAUGUGGGGACCUAGAGGAGGAGCUGAAAAUUGUUACCAACAACUUGAAAUCCCU